Molecule: ribosomal RNA, 637 nt
Filed under: uncultured bacterium
Lineage: Bacteria
Description: bacterial SSU rRNA
Rfam family: Bacterial small subunit ribosomal RNA (bases 1-547)
Source: RNAcentral
CCUACGGGAGGCAGCAGUGGGGAAUAUUGGACAAUGGGCGCAAGCCUGAUCCAGCCAUGCCGCGUGUGUGAAGAAGGCCUUCGGGUUGUAAAGCACUUUUAUCCGGAAAGAAAAGCUUUGGGUUAAUACCCUGAAGUCAUGACGGUACCGGAAGAAUAAGCACCGGCUAACUUCGUGCCAGCAGCCGCGGUAAUACGAAGGGUGCAAGCGUUACUCGGAAUUACUGGGCGUAAAGCGUGCGUAGGUGGUUUGUUAAGUCUGAUGUGAAAGCCCUAGGCUCAACCUGGGAAUUGCAUUGGAUACUGGCAGGCUAGAGUGCGGUAGAGGAUAGUGGAAUUCCCGGUGUAGCAGUGAAAUGCGUAGAGAUCGGGAGGAACAUCUGUGGCGAAGGCGACUAUCUGGGCCAGCACUGACACUGAGGCACGAAAGCGUGGGGAGCAAACAGGAUUAGAUACCCUGGUAGUCCACGCCCUAAACGAUGCGAACUGGAUGUUGGGUGCAACUGGCGACNCAGUAUGAGACUACGACGUUAGUUACGUCCGCCGUCGGGAGGUACGGUCGCGAGACGAGAAACGUUAAAGUAAAGUUAGUACGGACGUGAGACGUACGCCGACGGACGACGACGAGGGGAGGAGGG